This 1987-nucleotide ribosomal RNA is filed under the name human gut metagenome. Its description in RNAcentral is "bacterial LSU rRNA". It matches the Rfam family "Bacterial large subunit ribosomal RNA", at positions 1 to 1977 of the family's 2925-position model. The record is from RNAcentral.
UAAAGAUUUUAAGGGCGUACGGUGGAUGCCUUGGCGAUAUCAGCCGAAGAAGGACGCGGUAAGCUGCGAUAAGCUACGGAGAGGUGCAAGCAACCUUUGACCCGUAGAUUUCCGAAUGGGGGAACCCGGCAGUGGUUAUGCACUGUCACCCAUACCUUUGAGUAUGAGGAGGGCACCUGGGGAACUGAAACAUCUAAUUACCCAGAGGAAGAGUAAUCAAACGAGAUUUUCUUAGUAGCGGCGAGCGAACGGGAAAGAGGCCAAACCGGAGCGGGCAACCGCACCGGGGUUGAGGACAGUCAUCAAGUGUAAAUGAGGUAGAAGAAUCGAGUUGGAAAGCUCAGCCGCAGAAGGUGAAAGCCCUGUAAUCGAAACCUUGCAUACAUGGGACUGUAUCCAGAGUACCACGAGACACGUGAAACCUUGUGGGAAGCAGGGGGGACCACCCUCCAAGCCAAAAUACUGAUAUCGACCGAUAGCGCAUAGUACCGUGAGGGAAAGGUGAAAAGAACCCCUGGCGGGGAGUGAAAGAGAACCUGAAACCGUAUGUCUACAAACAGUCGAAGUCUGUAUAUAUAUCAGGACGACGGCGUGCCUAUUGAAGAAUGAACCGACGAGUUACUGUUGCUAGCGAGGUUAAGUGGAAAACAUGGAGCCGCAGCGAAAGCGAGUCUGAACAGGGCGUUCAGUUAGUAAUAGUAGACCCGAAACCGUAGUGAUCUAUCCAUGGCCAGGUUGAAGCACAGGUAAAAUUGUGUGGAGGACCGAACUCGUGAGCGUUGAAAAGCUUUGGGAUGAGUUGUGGAUAGGGGUGAAAUGCCAAUCGAACACGGAGAUAGCUGGUUCUCCCCGAAAUAGCUUUAGGGCUAGCCUCGAGGUUGAGAGUAUAGGCGGUAGAGCACUGAUCGGGCUAGGGGCCAUACCGGUUACCGAACCUAGUCAAACUACGAAUGGCUAUACUUAUACUCGGGAGUCAGACAGUGAAUGAUAAGGUCCAUUGUCAAGAGGGAAACAGCCCAGAACACCGACUAAGGUCCCAAAUGUUACACUAAGUGGCGAAGGAUGUGGAAUUUCCAAAACAACCAGGAUGUUGGCUUAGAAGCAGCCACCAUUUAAAGAGUGCGUAAUAGCUCACUGGUCGAGAGACUCUGCGCCGAAAAUGUCCGGGGCUAAAGUGUAAAACCGAAGUCGUGUCAUAUGCAGCAAUGUAUAUGGGUAGGGGAGCGUUCUCAUUGGGUUGAAGCAGUACCGUAAGGAGUUGUGGACUGAUGAGAAGUGAGAAUGUCGGUAUGAGUAGCGAAAAGAAUGGUGAGAAUCCAUUCCACCGAAAGCCUAAGGGUUCCUGAGCAACGAUCGUCGUCUCAGGGUAAGUCGGGACCUAAGCCGAGGCGGAAAAGCGUAGGCGAUGGACAACAGGUUGAAAUUCCUGUACCGGUGUGAAUCGUUUGAUCGAUGGAGUGACACAGUAAGGUAGGUCAGCACGCGAUUGGAAGUGCGUGUUUAAGCAUGUAGGUUGAGCUAUAGGCAAAUCCGUAGCUCUAAAAGCUGAGAUGUGAUGACGAGUUACUAGCGAUAGUAACGAAGUGAUUGAUCCUACACUGUCGAGAAAAGCUUCUAGGUAGAGACACAUCGCCCGUACCAAAACCGACACAGGUAGGCGGGGAGAGAAUCCUAAGGUGCGCGGGAAAACCCUCGUUAAGGAACUCGGCAAAAUGCCUCCGUAACUUCGGGAAAAGGAGGACUCAUGUAGUGUGAAGUGCAGCAACGCAUGGAGCAUGAAUGAGUGGCACAAGAGAGGCGCAAGCGACUGUUUACCACAAACACAGGUGCCUGCUAAAGCGAAAGCUGAUGUAUAGGUGCUGACACCUGCCCGGUGCUGGAAGGUUAAGAGGAGGGGUUAGACUUCGGUCGAAGCUCUGAAUUGAAGCCCCAGUAAACGGCGGCCGUAACUAUAACGGUCCUAAGGUAGCGAAAUUCCUUGUCGGGU